UACGUAGGGUGCAAGCGUUGUCCGGAAUUAUUGGGCGUAAAGAGCUCGUAGGCGGUUUGUCGCGUCUGCCGUGAAGGUCCGGGGCUCAACUCCGGAUCUGCGGUGGGUACGGGCAGACUAGAGUGAUGUAGGGGAGACUGGAAUUCCUGGUGUAGCGGUGAAAUGCGCAGAUAUCAGGAGGAACACCGAUGGCGAAGGCAGGUCUCUGGGCAUUAACUGACGCUGAGGAGCGAAAGCAUGGGGAGCGAACAGG
Molecule: ribosomal RNA, 253 nt
Filed under: uncultured bacterium
Lineage: Bacteria
Description: partial 16S ribosomal RNA
Rfam family: Bacterial small subunit ribosomal RNA
Source: RNAcentral